Molecule: ribosomal RNA, 273 nt
Filed under: uncultured prokaryote
Description: partial 16S ribosomal RNA
Rfam family: Bacterial small subunit ribosomal RNA
Source: RNAcentral
UACGUAGGGAACAAGCGUUGUCCGGAUUUACUGGGCGUAAAGGGCACGCAGGCGGUUUUUUAAGUCAGAUGUGAAAGGUACCGGCUCAACCGGUGACAUGCAUUUGAAACUGAAAGACUUGAGUAUUGGAGAGGCAAGUGGAAUUCCUAGUGUAGCGGUGAAAUGCGUAGAGAUUAGGAGGAACACCAGUGGCGAAGGCGGCUUGCUGGACAAAUACUGACGCUGAGGUGCGAAAGCGUGGGGAGCAAACAGGAUUAGAUACCCCCGUAGUCU